Molecule: ribosomal RNA, 439 nt
Filed under: uncultured bacterium
Lineage: Bacteria
Description: partial 16S ribosomal RNA
Rfam family: Bacterial small subunit ribosomal RNA
Source: RNAcentral
CCUACGGGAGGCUGCAGUGGGGAAUAUUGCACAAUGGGCGAAAGCCUGAUGCAGCAACGCCGCGUGAGCGAUGAAGGCCUUCGGGUCGUAAAGUUCUGUCCUCAAGGAAGAUAAUGACGGUAUUUGAGGAGGAAGCCCCGGCUAACUACGUGCCAGCAGCCGCGGUAAUACGUAGGGGGCUAGCGUUAUCCGGAAUUACUGGGCGAAAAGGGUGCGUAGGUGGGUUGUUAAGUCAGAGGUGAAACGCUACGGCUCAACCGUAGUAAGCCUUUGAAACUGGGUAACUUGAGUGCAGGAGAGGUGAGUGGAAUUCCUAGUGUAGCGGUGAAAUGCGUAGAGAUUAGGAGGAACACCAGUUGCGAAGGCGGCUCUCUAGACUGUAACUGACACUGAUGCACGAAAGCGUGGGGAGCAAACAGGAUUAGAUACCCGGGUAGUC